RNAcentral lists this ribosomal RNA (253 nucleotides) under uncultured bacterium. RNAcentral's name for it is "partial 16S ribosomal RNA". It matches the Rfam family "Bacterial small subunit ribosomal RNA", at positions 524 to 776 of the family's 1533-position model. The record is from RNAcentral.
UACAGAGGGUGCAAGCGUUGUUCGGAAUCAUUGGGCGUAAAGCGCGUGUAGGCGGCCAGAAAAGUCCGCUGUGAAAACUCGAGGCUCAACUUCGAGCUGUCGGUGGAAACUUUCUGGCUAGAGUCCGGAAGAGGAGAAUGGAAUUCCUGGUGUAGCGGUGAAAUGCGCAGAUAUCAGGAAGAACACCCGUGGCGAAGGCGGUUCUCUGGGACGGUACUGACGCUGAGACGCGAAAGCGUGGGGAGCGAACAGG